RNAcentral lists this long non-coding RNA (1883 nucleotides) under Sorghum bicolor (sorghum). RNAcentral's name for it is "long non-coding RNA (SBIC_LNC009164)". The record is from RNAcentral. Lineage: Eukaryota; Viridiplantae; Streptophyta; Magnoliopsida; Poales; Poaceae.
CUCAUUCACACUUUCUCUAUAUCUCCCUUCCUCACCUGUUCUCCCUCUCUCUCACCCACUCCCACUCAGAUUCGGCCGAGGCAAGGGCGUAGGCGGCACGAGGCUCCUGCGGUGGCACGGGGCGAGCUGCGCGAGGAGCCCACGACGGCACAAGGCACCAGUGGCGGCGCGAGGCGAGCCGCUCGAGGUGUUUCCACUAUGGCUCGAGGCGUUCUCGGCGACAGGAGGCGUUCAUGGCUGCAUGAGGCAAGCCGUGCGAGGCAUCCAUGGCGGCACGAGGCCCUCAUGACGACAUCGGAUGCAGGUCCGCGGCGGCGCUCCGCCCUCUACUUUGGUGUGGGGCUAUGGCCAAGAGGAGCUCUAGGCGACCGAUUUGGCGAGGAGCACCAAGGCGAUGCUCAGCCCUCGGCCCUCGACAUAGGGCCACGACUGCGCUCGGCAAGGAAGAGCCCCACGGUGGUAGAUUCGGUUAGUUGAGGUGGAGGUGGAACCCUGAAUGGGCUCGACGGGCCUAUCGAUGGGCUCAUCGGGCCAAUCGAUGGAUUUUUUCUUUUUUUUAUUUUUUUAUUUGAUUAACUCAGGCGGGCAGGCAACCGACUUGGAAAAUAAUCUAUUUACCGUGACCUUCAUUCCGAGACGGUUGCAAAAAGCAACUCGGUUAAUCAUUUUUGCCGGACUCUAUUAAAAAUAAUGUAGUAGUGUCUCCGUAACUCUCAACUAGAACUAAUAUACUACAUUGGAGAGUCUAGUCCUAAUCCUCCUUGUGCACCCUGAUCUAUGAAUGAGAGAUACGAAUUAUGGUUUUAGAGAUUUUCUCAACCAGGGGGUCACGGGCCUGCUAAUAUAUGCCAAUGGGAUGAACAAGAGCUCUUCGAUUAAAUCUAAAACUCAGAGAUUCCGUUGUAUAACUCUCUUAAGUCUCUCAACAUGUGGUAUUUUUUUGAUCUUCACCAAGGCAAUAAAGAUGUUAUGCCUUUUUCUAUUCCUACCACUAAGGCUUAUAAGGAGUUCAUAGGUAGGGAGAAAGCUAUGACAUACUUGUAAUGCACAUAUUGUAAAUUCAAACAAUGGACUCCAAGAGAGUUGAAUCAUACAAUCAAAUCGAAAUGUGCAUGUGUGUGGAAUAUAUCAUGGCUAAACACUAACUCUACUUUGCUCCUAAGAAUGUAUCUCUCUUUUAUAAUUUUAAUAUACUUGCUAGGGUAUAGGGGCCAUCUUAUUCAUCUCUAUCUCUCUUUUAUGGUAGGCAUCUCUUCUUAGAUAUCUCAAACACUUGUCCAUCUUUUUUUGAGCUCUUCUUUUUUAACUUUUUCUAAAUAACGUUUGCACAGAUCCAUGUCCCCCUUUUGCAACAAAACUCUUGAGAGAUAGGAACAAGAACUUGGAGCAUUUAAUUGGUGGUGAAAAACAUAUCAAAUAUAUUAUUGGUGUCCACUCCGAGAGCAGAACAUUUUUGGAUAGAUCCAAAUGGAAAACAUGUUUUUGCGCCUACCCUUGAUAUAGGAGUAGUGCAUAUGUGGGUGGUGUGUACAUGAUCUUGACUUUAAGAGCAUGGGAAACCUCUUAUAAGGGUUAACAAAUCUUGACAAGACUCAAUGCAAAAGCAAGCAGCAAAAACCUAACCUAAAUAACAUGUAUGGCUGUGGUGGGAAUUCAAGCUUUGUCAUACAUGUACUCCUGAUGUAGCAUCUUUGUGUUUUCAAAAAGUAAAUCUCUAGAAGUCUAGUAUCACUUGGAACAAGAUAAAUUGUAGCUCAGACCUUCUCAUAUCAUAUCUACCAAUUACCUAGACCUACAUCAAGCAUUCCCUAAUAACGAGUCCACCCAUUUUUGUGUUUUUUAAAAAGUAAAUAAUGUUCUUAAUAAUGUUCUUUGAUUCAUUG